Long non-coding RNA from Oreochromis aureus, 351 nucleotides. RefSeq lists it as uncharacterized. NCBI's taxonomy places the organism in Eukaryota, Metazoa, Chordata, Actinopteri, Cichliformes, Cichlidae. The transcript is spliced from 2 exons. The record is from RefSeq and is a predicted model, not a curated record.
CUGGGGGUGUGGUUGGGUCUGAAGAGCACUGAGAUAUUGUGCUUUGAGAAAUUUCUCCUGAAUUUUCUGAGAGGCUGAAGAAGCCUCUUGGAUGAGAGGUGGAACAUCUUCAUGAAACUUAAAGAAGUCAAGUCGCUUCAUUUCUGAGCUCCUUAGACUGCCAUGACCCGGCUGACGGAGGACCCGGCUGACGGAGGACCCAGGCAGACAGCCAGCACAGAAUAUUUGAUUGUGUACAAAAUCACCAGCACCUUUGAUAAGUGAUGGAUGGAAGGAUGCACAACAAUGUGUUACAAUGAAACUCUUUUUCACAGCAGCUUAUUGAAUAAAUAAAAUAAAGAAUAAAGGACA